RNAcentral lists this ribosomal RNA (610 nucleotides) under Pseudoeurycea orchimelas. RNAcentral's name for it is "partial 16S ribosomal RNA". The stretch from base 41 to 156 matches the Rfam family "Bacterial large subunit ribosomal RNA", at positions 714 to 852 of the family's 2925-position model. The record is from RNAcentral. Lineage: Eukaryota; Metazoa; Chordata; Amphibia; Caudata; Plethodontidae.
CUAGCAAGUCAACCCUUACAAAAAGAAUUUAGCAAGACCCCCCGAAACCAGACGAGCUACCCUAAGGCAGUAUAUGAACGAACCCUCCUCUGUAGCAAAAGAGCGGGAAGACCUUAAGGUAGAGGCAAUAAACCUAACGAGCCUGGAUAUAGCUGGUUGCUUGAGAAAGAAUUUAAGUUCACAUAAAAGCAAUUAUACCAACAAGGAAAAUAAAACCUUUUAAUUUAAUCAAUCGGGUUACAACUCGAUUAAUAAGGGAGACAACCCAAAUAAAUGAAUAAAGAUAUUUUGAAGAAAAUAAGCCUAGUAGGCCUAAAAGCAGCCACCAAAACAGCGUCAAAGCUUAACUUAAAUCACAUCUAUUAUUUCAAUAAAAAAAUCUUAAUUCAAAAAAACAAUCAAGCUAAUCUAUUUAUAGAUAAACUACUACUAGAAUGAGUAAUAAGGAUAUAAUCCUCUAUAAUACAAGUGUAAAUCAAAACGAAUAACCACUGAUAAUUAAUGAAUAUAUUUACCAAAACAAGAACUUAAUAACAAAAAUCAUUAACCCAACACAGGAGUAUUUAAGAAAGAUUUAAAGCUUAGAAAGGAACUCGGCAAACUCAGGCUU